RNAcentral lists this long non-coding RNA (432 nucleotides) under Triticum aestivum (bread wheat). RNAcentral's name for it is "long non-coding RNA (TAES_LNC011346)". Lineage: Eukaryota; Viridiplantae; Streptophyta; Magnoliopsida; Poales; Poaceae. The record is from RNAcentral.
UCCGAUUUUGCUGCACGACCGUUGGCAUGCAUGUUGCGAUGGCAGCUUUGACAUCAUGGUGGCAUUUUGCAAAUGUCUCGCAACGUCGCGCAAUAGCCCAGAGAAUGAAACAGUACCUGAAGCUUCAGGAAAAGGUAAUAGAAAACUUCUAUGCCUAUGGGCAUGUGUUCACUUCAAGCCUGUGAAAUUGCAUGCACAUGUGUAUAAUACAGUUAUCUCUAGUGGUCAGUAUGGUCCAAACUAUUGGUUGAAGUGAAAAUCGUCUCUUCUUGCAGAUUCUACACUUCUGUACUUUUGGAGGUCUUGAAUUAGUCUAUCUCCACAUAUGUUUCUAUAUUUUUUCUGUCGUGGAAAAGAUAUCAAGCAAUUAUAAAUACAGACCGACGUUUGUGCUUAUGUAUGAGAUACAAAUAAAUCAUGUUUGAUUUUGAG